RNAcentral lists this unclassified non-coding RNA (335 nucleotides) under Hevea brasiliensis (rubber tree). The record is from RNAcentral. Lineage: Eukaryota; Viridiplantae; Streptophyta; Magnoliopsida; Malpighiales; Euphorbiaceae.
UUCUCUAUCAUUUUCUUCUUUCUUUCCAGUCUAUAUAUAUGCAUGCACAUAACUCUGUGUGCAGUGAUACACAUUUUUAGAAUGACAAAACAGAAGGUGAUAAUUUAUUCUGAUAAAAAAAAGGCGAUAAUUUAUCUAUUUUGAAUGACUAAAUAAUAGAGAUAUAGAAUUAUUCGUAGAACCCUCACGUAUAAAUUUACAAGUUUAAACUUUUAAGUUAAGUGAUUUCUUGACAUGAUAUUAAAAUUUUUCAGACCAAAUAAGUUCAGCGAUCAAAUCCUUACCACCUAAUUUAUUAGUUGAAUAUUUCAUUACAAGGUAAAAAUGGAUAUGUG